UGUUUCCUGCAUUCUGUGUCUAUAAAGACCUAGAAUACAGUCUGUUAAUGAUAAACCUCAGAUUGAUACAACGGUUAGUUAGGAAAUUGUAUACGACUGCUCUGAUAGAGAACCAAAACAACGGUGACUUCUGUGCACAAAGUUGCAGGAGUUUGAAACUCACUAGUGCUUGGCUCUCCUACAGCAGACUUUGACCUAAAGGCCUGUGUAUUUGUAUCAUACCGGAAUCUUGACUCGAUCCAAACAGAAGGGUGAACUUAGUACAUGGUUCUUCAAAUCAUGCAUCACUUUUGCAAAUAGCUGACAUGAGUCCACGACUGCCUUCCCAGGCCCAGCCAUCGCCUGUGUUUCCUGGGAUACCUCACAGGAUCUGAACUAUGAAAGUCAUCUCUGGGCCUACUUCUGCAGAACCUAACACAGACAAUGAGUUUCAAGGACGAAAGAUCGAGCCCUGCCAGUACCCCAUUCUGGGGCCCACAUUCUCCUCCGCUUCCCAAACUAUGACCUUACCAAGAAGUGCCUGCUGCAGAAAAGACAGUCACCCUCCCUUCUGUACCCAAAAGUGUGCACCCCACCGAGGUCUCUCCACUUCCUUCCUUUAAUGGUUGCAAGCAUGCUUUCAUGCUGUUAUUCCAGGGUCGGGGGUGCCCAUCUUGCUCUAAAUUUUCCACUUAAAAUUAAACACAUGAAAACUUUUUCUGCUUCAAAACUUUCAUAUUUCAUCCGUCUGUUUCCUAACCCUGUGUCAUUACAAAAGUAGAGAAUUCUGACCAUAGUGCUGUAAGCCAUUGGCUUUUAAUCUUACUUUAAUAAACAAAAAUCUUGGAACCAUUUCUACGGUCAAAGCAGCAUCUACAUACACAAAACGUUGAAUUGGCAAACGUGGAUCUUCACUAAUCUUAUCAGUUUGGAAAUGUACAGGGUAAUUACCUUAAUAAGAUCAGGACACUAGGAACAUCUACUCUGCGCUCGAUAAUAAAACACAUUAAUAUUCUCUUCCAGAGUGUUUCAAGACUUUUAACCCAUCUCUAAAAGUGUUUACCUCUGC
Non-coding RNA from Rattus norvegicus (Norway rat), 1048 nucleotides. Lineage: Eukaryota; Metazoa; Chordata; Mammalia; Rodentia; Muridae. The record is from RefSeq and is a predicted model, not a curated record.